This is a small nucleolar RNA of Arabis alpina (gray rockcress), 87 nucleotides long. It matches the Rfam family "small nucleolar RNA snoR114". NCBI's taxonomy places the organism in Eukaryota, Viridiplantae, Streptophyta, Magnoliopsida, Brassicales, Brassicaceae. The record is from Rfam.
GAGCUGUGAUGAUAUAGGCUUAAGCGUUGGUUGGGUCCUUCGCAUUCUCCUGAAUUAUCAGUUGAGACACGCCACACUCCUGAGCUC